UGGGGAAUAUUGGACAAUGGGGGCAACCCUGAUCCAGCCAUGCCGCGUGAGUGAUGAAGGCCUUCGGGUUGUAAAGCUCUUUUGGCGGGGACGAUGAUGACGGUACCCGCAGAAUAAGCCCCGGCUAACUUCGUGCCAGCAGCCGCGGUAAGACGAAGGGGGCACGCGUUGUUCGGAAUUACUGGGCGUAAAGGGCGCGUAGGCGGUUUGCUUAGUCAGGCGUGAAAGCCCUGGGCUUAACCUGGGAUGUGCGCUUGAUACUGGCAGGCUUGAGUGUGGGAGAGGUUGGUGGAAUUCCCAGUGUAUAGGUUAAAUUCGUAGAUAUUGGGAAGAACACCGGUGGCGAAGGCGGCCAACUGGACCACAACUGACGCUGAGGCGCGAAAGCGUGG
Molecule: ribosomal RNA, 392 nt
Filed under: uncultured bacterium
Lineage: Bacteria
Description: bacterial SSU rRNA
Rfam family: Bacterial small subunit ribosomal RNA
Source: RNAcentral